Long non-coding RNA from Mugil cephalus (flathead mullet), 1003 nucleotides. RefSeq lists it as uncharacterized. Lineage: Eukaryota; Metazoa; Chordata; Actinopteri; Mugiliformes; Mugilidae. The record is from RefSeq and is a predicted model, not a curated record. The transcript is spliced from 3 exons.
GCUUCCCCUGGUUGAAUAUGUGAGCUGCCUGUUAGACUGGCCUAAUAGUAGAUGGAUUAAAACAGGAAUCUGGAGACUCAGACGAGGUGCAGACCAACCAAGUGUUUAUCUCAAAUUUAAUACAAAAAAGGACUUUGAAGACAUAACAAAGGACGACAUAUCUACUUACUUGAGCUGAAACUGAAAGUAUCUUCAACCCUCUUCAACAACGGCCUCUGGUUACAUUAACUAUCAGCGAAACAAAAGGGAUGGUCAGCGAAAAGGAGUAAUCUACAACAUCAGAAACUCGUGAAAACCUGCCUAGUCCAAGUUCAUGACUAUAAAUGUGAAAACUUACGAUCGACCUGGGAACCGAGGAACAGUUCAAGAGCGUCACGGUGCAGCACCUGAAGGAGGAGAUACAAGAGAUGAGCUCAACAAGUGGCUCACAUCAACCACAACAGCGCAGAAUGGAGAAGAUCUAUAAGGUCGUGGUUCAUGAUUUUAAGUGGGAGAAAGUGGAGAUUGAUCUCUGCAACACCGAGGAGCAGAUGAAGAACAUGACAGUGCUGCAGCUGAAGGAGAAGAUAGCUCAGAGGUAUCCUAAGUACAUUGGAGGUAAAGACACAUAGAAAGAGAGAGAGAAGUGUUAUGACACAGAGUACAACACUGUUUUGCAUUUACUUCCACCUCAAACUGUCGGGUUUAAAGUACAGAGGUGUUCACAGCAAAAUGUUCAGAAAUAUUAAUGAAUGUGUUGUUCACCUGUUACGUUUAUAAUGUGUCAUACAGAAGAGUUCAUCAAUGAGAUACUACACACUCGUCAUAUUCUAGGAAUCAUGAGAUUUAUUCUGUUUAUGUUCAAACACAGUUAACUAACUAACUCUCUCUCUCUGUCAGAUGAUAUAGAACUUCUCUUCAUUGAUAAAUGUCUGGAUGAAGAAUCCGCUCCACUGUGUAAAUAUGGCAUACAACACAUGUCUCAGAUACUGGUAAUUAUUAAACUGCCUGGGGGAGGAGGACC